Molecule: non-coding RNA, 21 nt
Organism: Caenorhabditis elegans
Lineage: Eukaryota; Metazoa; Nematoda; Chromadorea; Rhabditida; Rhabditidae
Source: Ensembl
UGCAUUGUCUUGCUGAAAUAU